GUACUAAAAAACAUGUAAUUAGCACAAAGAUGAAAAUAAAGUUUAGCAAAGAGUGGCGAAGAACAAACUGGUAUUCCCGCCAACAAUAACAAUAGCGAGAGUGCAGGGGCGCAUGGGUAUGGUCGUUUAGUAGCGAGUAGAAGAAGAGUAGAAUGGGUCAAAUCAUGCAUCCUCAUCUUAGCUGGAAUGGCUGCCGUCAUUUUAGGAUUUCCUCUGAAUCUGUCCACCCACACCCUCUCUCUCUCUCUCCCCUCAAUUUGCUUCAAUCAUUCUCGCUCAGCGCCUGCCGCUUUCUCUGUCUACAAUUUUAUAGAAUCAAACAGAUCUAAAAAGUGAUUAGGGGAGAAGGGGAGGGAAACAUGAACGAGAAGGCCUCCGUCUCUAAGGAGCUUAAUGUCAAGCAUACCAAGAUUUUAGAGGGUCUUCUUAAGCUGCCAGAGAAUAGGGAAUGUGCAGAUUGCUGGAACAAGGCCCCACGAUGGGCGAGUGUGAACCUUGGAAUAUUUAUAUGCAUGCAAUGUUCGGGAAUUCAUCGAAGUCUUGGAGUACAUAUAUCGAAGGUAAGGUCUACUACUUUGGAUACAUGGCUACCAGAGCAGGUUGCAUUUAUGCAAUCUAUGGGUAAUGAGAAGUCGAACCGUUAUUGGGAAGCAGAACUACCACCAAAUUUUGACAGAAGUGGAAUUGAGAAAUUUAUCCGUGCCAAGUAUGAGGAGAAGAAAUGGGUUGCACAGAAUGCAACACAACCAACUCCAAAACCAGGUGAAAUGAGCUCUAAUCUGGACAAGUUUCUAGAAGGUGGAGCCAGAUCUGGCAUUCCAAAUAAAACAAGGAGGCUUUCUCUUGAGGAGGAGAUUCUUACUAAUCACCUUGCACAAGUUACUCAUCCAGUAACAAGAUACCGUGGGAGUUCUUUAGAUAUGAAGAACAAGAUCAAUAUUUCCCCACCAAAGGGAUCACCACUGAUAACAGAAUUUGAUACAUCCGCAACAAAGACCAAUGGUCCAACAGAUCUUUUCAGCUUGCUUCAUGUCCCUGAUGGAAAACAGGAUUGCUCUACUGUACCUCCACGCUGGGCAACUUUCGAUUGAGAAAAUCCAUCUGCAUAAAUCCCUUGGAAUUAUUAUUCUAUUACCAGUUGGAUUAGAAGUCACUAGUUUACCGAAUGAAGUGGAGAGCAUAUGCUCCUAUCAAAAACGAAGGAGUGAAGAUAAGGGAGAUGAUUUGUAGUGGCCAUGAGGAUUGAUGUGCCAAUAAUCUCUGCUUCACCAUCUAGCUAUUGCAGCAAUCUGAGUAGUACUUAUAAGAAUUAAUUCAGAAGCAAUUUAGAAUAGGCCACCCAUAUUUGAGGUUCCUAUUUUAAGUCACCCUUUGUUUUGGUUUUAUGUUUGUUCACUUCUGCUGCAACAAAGUUAUUCGAGUAAACUUUCUAGUCAUUGUACAAAUUUCAAUAUUUAUAGCGUUUGGAUUUUGAA
This is an RNA transcript of Alnus glutinosa, 1475 nucleotides long. It is a transcript of the gene named probable ADP-ribosylation factor GTPase-activating protein AGD15, with no coding region annotated. The transcript has 9 exons. The record is from RefSeq and is a predicted model, not a curated record. NCBI's taxonomy places the organism in Eukaryota, Viridiplantae, Streptophyta, Magnoliopsida, Fagales, Betulaceae.